RNAcentral lists this ribosomal RNA (432 nucleotides) under uncultured bacterium. Its description in RNAcentral is "bacterial SSU rRNA". It matches the Rfam family "Bacterial small subunit ribosomal RNA", at positions 958 to 1392 of the family's 1533-position model. The record is from RNAcentral.
AACGCAAAGAACCUUACCAGGUCUUGACAUAGGAAUAAAGGCCCUAGAGAUAGGGAGAUAGGAAUAUUCCAUACAGGUGGUGCAUGGUUGUCGUCAGCUCGUGUCGUGAGAUGUUGGUUUAAGUACCGCAACGAGCGCAACCCUUGUCGUUAGUUACCAGCACGUAGAGGUGGGGACUCUAGCGAGACAGCCGGCAAGAAACCGGAGGAAGGCGGGGAUGACGUCAAAUCAUCAUGCCCUUUAUGACCUGGGCUACACACGUGCUACAAUGGUCGGUACAGAGUGAAGCAAAGCCGUGAGGUGAAGCAAACCACAAAAAGCCGAUCACAGUUCGGAUUGUAGUCUGCAACUCGACUACAUGAAGUUGGAAUCGCUAGUAAUCGCAAAUCAACAAUGUUGCGGUGAAUACGUUCUCGGGUCUUGUACACACCG